This 491-nucleotide ribosomal RNA is filed under the name uncultured bacterium. Its description in RNAcentral is "partial 16S ribosomal RNA". It matches the Rfam family "Bacterial small subunit ribosomal RNA", at positions 29 to 506 of the family's 1533-position model. The record is from RNAcentral.
AGUGAACGCUGGCGGUAGGCCUAACACAUGCGAGUCGAACGGCAGCACAGUAAGAGCUUGCUCUUACGGGUGGCGAGUGGCGGACGGGUGAGGAAUACAUCGGAAUCUACUUUUUCGUGGGGGAUAACGUAGGGAAACUUACGCUAAUACCGCAUACGACCUACGGGUGAAAGCAGGGGAUCUUCGGACCUUGCGCGAUUGAAUGAGCCGAUGUCGGAUUAGCUAGUUGGCGGGGUAAAGGCCCACCAAGGCGACGAUCCGUAGCUGGUCUGAGAGGAUGAUCAGCCACACUGGAACUGAGACACGGUCCAGACUCCUACGGGAGGCAGCAGUGGGGAAUAUUGGACAAUGGGCGCAAGCCUGAUCCAGCCAUACCGCGUGGGUGAAGAAGGCCUUCGGGUUGUAAAGCCCUUUUGUUGGGAAAGAAAAGCAGCAGGUUAAUACCCCGCUGUUCUGACGGUACCCAAAGAAUAGGCACCGGCUAACUUCGU